Molecule: ribosomal RNA, 253 nt
Filed under: uncultured bacterium
Lineage: Bacteria
Description: partial 16S ribosomal RNA
Rfam family: Bacterial small subunit ribosomal RNA
Source: RNAcentral
UACGGAGGGUGCAAGCGUUAUCCGGAUUCACUGGGUUUAAAGGGUGCGUAGGCGGGCGGAUAAGUCAGUGGUGAAAUCCCCGAGCUUAACUUGGGAACUGCCAUUGAUACUAUUUGUCUUGAAUGUCGUGGAGGUUAGCGGAAUAUGUCAUGUAGCGGUGAAAUGCUUAGAUAUGACAUAGAACACCUAUUGCGAAGGCAGCUAACUACGCGAAUAUUGACGCUGAGGCGCGAAAGCGUGGGGAUCAAACAGG